RNAcentral lists this ribosomal RNA (403 nucleotides) under Verrucomicrobiota bacterium. RNAcentral's name for it is "Verrucomicrobia bacterium partial 16S ribosomal RNA". It matches the Rfam family "Bacterial small subunit ribosomal RNA", at positions 355 to 776 of the family's 1533-position model. Lineage: Bacteria; Pseudomonadati; Verrucomicrobiota. The record is from RNAcentral.
UGGGGAAUAUUGCACAAUGGGGGAAACCCUGAUGCAGCGACGCCGCGUGAGCGAAGAAGGUUUUCGAAUCGUAAAGCUCUGUCCUAUGAGAAGAUAAUGACGGUAUCAUAGGAGGAAGCCCCGGCUAAAUACGUGCCAGCAGCCGCGGUAAUACGUAUGGGGCGAGCGUUGUCCGGAAUUAUUGGGCGUAAAGGGUACGUAGGCGGUCUAUUAAGUCAGGUGUGAAAGCGUGAGGCUUAACCUCAUUAAGCACUUGAAACUGAUAGACUUGAGUGAAGGAGAGGAAAGUGGAAUUCCUAGUGUAGCCGUGAAAUGCGUAGAUAUUAGGAGGAAUACCGGUGGCGAAGGCGACUUUCUGGACUUUUACUGACGCUCAGGUACGAAAGCGUGGGGAGCAAACAGG